UACGUAGGGUGCAAGCGUUGUCCGGAAUUAUUGGGCGUAAAGAGCUCGUAGGCGGUCUGUUGCGUCGGCUGUGAAAACCCGGGGCUCAACCCCGGGCCUGCAGCCGAUACGGGCAGACUAGAGUUCGGCAGGGGAGACUGGAAUUCCUGGUGUAGCGGUGAAAUGCGCAGAUAUCAGGAGGAACACCGGUGGCGAAGGCGGGUCUCUGGGCCGAUACUGACGCUGGGGAGCGAAAGCGUGGGGAGCAAACAGG
This 253-nucleotide ribosomal RNA is filed under the name uncultured bacterium. Its description in RNAcentral is "partial 16S ribosomal RNA". It matches the Rfam family "Bacterial small subunit ribosomal RNA", at positions 524 to 776 of the family's 1533-position model. The record is from RNAcentral.